UACGGAGGAUCCAAGCGUUAUCCGGAUUUAUUGGGUUUAAAGGGUGCGUAGGCGGGAGAUUAAGUCAGUGGUGAAAGUUUGCAGCUCAACUGUAAAAUUGCCAUUGAAACUGAUUUUCUUGAGUGCAAAUGAGGUAGGCGGAAUGUGUUGUGUAGCGGUGAAAUGCUUAGAUAUAACACAGAACCCCGAUUGCGAAGGCAGCUUACUGGGAUGCAACUGACGCUGAGGCACGAAAGCGUGGGGAUCAAACAGG
This 253-nucleotide ribosomal RNA is filed under the name uncultured bacterium. RNAcentral describes it as "partial 16S ribosomal RNA". It matches the Rfam family "Bacterial small subunit ribosomal RNA", at positions 524 to 776 of the family's 1533-position model. The record is from RNAcentral.